Molecule: unclassified non-coding RNA, 545 nt
Filed under: Hevea brasiliensis (rubber tree)
Lineage: Eukaryota; Viridiplantae; Streptophyta; Magnoliopsida; Malpighiales; Euphorbiaceae
Source: RNAcentral
CUAUUUCAAAAAGGCACACAAAGAUAACUAGAAAGAGAAGGUUAUCAUUUCUUUCGAGAGUGAAACAAGUUUAACUAUGUAUGAGAGAGAGAAAGAGAGAGAGAUGGGUAGAAAGAGGAAUGAGAAACAAAAAAUAAAAUCAAAUCAUACUACUGCAUAUAAGGUUCAAAAGAAGAACCCGAAAGCAAAAGCAGCCAAAGAUGCAAAGAAUGUGGGAACAAAAACAGAGGCAUCAGAAGUUGGGCUUGGUGCUGGUGCUUCAGCAGCUGCAGCCAUUUGCAUGGUGGAGAAAGCCAUCAACACAACCAUCAAAACAACAAAGAGCUUCAUCUUCAUUGCUUCCAUCUCUUUGAAAAAUUAAAAUUUUGAAAGGAGAAUUGGACUUCACAACUCCUCUUUGAGAUAUAUGUAUAGAAAAAGAGGAAUGGUAGAGAGGAAGCAGUGUGUACAUACAAGGGUUUGUGGAUUAAUGGGGUAGUGGGUACUUAUAUAUAAGGAGAGAGAAUGAAGGUAUAGAUAGAGAAAUUUGGGGUUUUUUUUAAGAG